UAAAAUUCAAAUCUCAAAAUCAAUAGGAAUUGGAAAUCCUCUUUUAGAUCUUAUUAUUUUCAAAAAAAACCAAAAACAACAAAAAUCUUCAAAAAAAUAAAAUAAAAAAUAGGCACUAUUACAUUGAUUUUUGGGCUAAAUUUGAUCAUUUCUCUUCUCUUCUAUUUGCUGAGGUUCCUCUGAAGUUUACUGAUGGUUUUUCGAGUGGUUUUAGUUCAUUCAAAUUGGUUUUUAGUCGAUUUAGUAGAUCUGUCUGGGUUUGAGCAUUUCUGGAUCAUCUAAGUUUGGGUUCGAGUCUGUUUGGCUGUGUUCGAGUGGUUUACUGUCCAAACACCUAUUUCUAGAUUGAGAACUGAGUUGAAUAUGGGCUGUUGUUGAUUUCUGC
RNAcentral lists this long non-coding RNA (385 nucleotides) under Nicotiana benthamiana. RNAcentral's name for it is "long non-coding RNA (NBEN_LNC029572)". Lineage: Eukaryota; Viridiplantae; Streptophyta; Magnoliopsida; Solanales; Solanaceae. The record is from RNAcentral.